CAGAUGAAUCUCGAGUCUGCAGUUUAGAGACACUGGAGCGAGAGUGUAGGUGAUUGUUAGAGAACAACCAGCACUGAGAGUGACCAAUACAAGAAGUCACAUGGAUGUUUGCUCACUCGUUAGUGACUUUCUCGAUGCUGCAGUUGUAUGACUGUUCCUUUAAUUUGAGAUGAUACUUCUGCUCACAGUGAGGUUGCUAGAAUUUGACUGACACAUCAAUAUAGGUCUCAAAGAACUCUUGUAGUGGAUGUUGGUGACAGUUAGUCCACUGUAGGAGUAGGGUGUACAUCAAGAUGGGAUCUAUCGAUCCUAGCAGAAGGAAGUAGUCCUAUGAGAUUUAAGAGGCUGAGUCCUUAAGUCUAUGGUCAUAGCAAUGUGAUUGAUGGAAAAGAGUUUCCACAAAAUUACAUAUGGACUUAAGCUGAUUGAAUCUAUUAUAUGACCAACGUUGAGAUUUGAUGAUUUAUCCAUGACCUGCCAUCUAGUCGGGACUCACGAUAGAGGGAUUGAAUCACACGUUAACUACACCUAGAGGUUCAUUUCAGUUCUACUAUAUUACCACUACAUACUACAAGAUGUCACUAAU
Molecule: long non-coding RNA, 586 nt
Filed under: Elaeis guineensis (African oil palm)
Lineage: Eukaryota; Viridiplantae; Streptophyta; Magnoliopsida; Arecales; Arecaceae
Description: long non-coding RNA (EGUI_LNC046638)
Source: RNAcentral